UUUCUCUUUUUUUUGGUUCGCCGGGAUGCCCUUUUUUGCCUGGACUAUUUUAUUCUUUUCGUCCAGCGGGUCAAUUUUACGAAGUAUUUUUUAACUGCGUCCGCAUUCACAGGGGAUGGAAAAUCCUCGCCGUCCAUGGUCGUUAACAAAAAGGCUCUGCUAGAGAAAACCUUCUUGACCACGAAUGGGCGUUCAUAACUGUGUGUCCACUUGCCCCUACGAUCGUUCUGAGGAGGAAAGAUCCUUUUCAACACCACAUCUCUCAU
This 266-nucleotide long non-coding RNA is filed under the name Lathyrus oleraceus (garden pea). RNAcentral describes it as "Pisum sativum (pea) long non-coding RNA (PSAT_LNC008225)". The record is from RNAcentral. Lineage: Eukaryota; Viridiplantae; Streptophyta; Magnoliopsida; Fabales; Fabaceae.